Molecule: transfer RNA, 66 nt
Filed under: Aeromonas salmonicida
Lineage: Bacteria; Pseudomonadati; Pseudomonadota; Gammaproteobacteria; Aeromonadales; Aeromonadaceae
Also listed under: 7 other names
Description: tRNA-OTHER
Source: RNAcentral
AAUGUAAAGGUUAUAUUUGUGCUGUGAUAUCCAAAAGUGAGGGUUCGAAUCCCUCCCUCACCGCCA